Chiloscyllium plagiosum (whitespotted bambooshark) is the source of this 634-nucleotide long non-coding RNA. RefSeq lists it as uncharacterized. NCBI's taxonomy places the organism in Eukaryota, Metazoa, Chordata, Chondrichthyes, Orectolobiformes, Hemiscylliidae. The record is from RefSeq and is a predicted model, not a curated record.
GUGAGAGUCCCUGAGGGUGAGGGAACUUUGUUUCCCCCAGCUUUGCCUCCCCCCUUCACGGUGAAGCCAUGAAAACAUUUGCUCAGCAAUCAGACUUCAAAGUAAAGUUCUUUAGGACCUAGCCCGAAACGUCGAUUUUCCUGCUCCCUCGGACGCUGCCUGACCUGCUGUAUUUUUCCAGCACCACUCUGAUCAGAACUCUGGUUUCCAGCAUCUGCAGUCCUCACUUUUCCCAAGUUCUUUAAGAUGUCUGGAGGUCAUGGAAGGCACUACAUGAAUUGUGGAGACCGGGCUGUUUGACCUUGGAGGCAGAACAUCAGCUGGAAUCAUGAUGGAGAUCUUUCAAAUCAACCCGAUUCAGACAUGAUACAUGUCUGAAGCAGAUGGGACUUUUGAACCUGGCUCUCCUGUCCCAGAGGUAGGGACAUUACCAUGGCGCCGUGAGAACAGAACCUUGAGGAAUAACCUGAGCUAAAUUGACAACGCCUCGGAAUCACCAUGGUAACAGGGUGCCUACUCCAAAGGAGGGGAGAAAGGUUUGAUCAAUGUCCACACAGCCACAGUCAGCCUUGUAACCAGCAUCCCAGCUUGGUCAGGGCAGGAAGCGAGAAGGCCGGGAAGGUGAUCCUUAAAU